CUUCUCUCUCGUGAAAGAGUCUUCCUCUAGUGUCCCAAUUCAAAUCAACAAAUACUUAUUAAGUACCUCCACUGGCAAGUCACUAGGUAGGAUUGCCUAUCAGCAUUGCUCAGCCCUCUCAAGCAGGCAGCUGACUGUUCCUGUUAAGGGCAUUGCCAACCACAGAUUGGGUGCUGACUAUUUUGCAGCCAAUGAUUCAGGUAAAUUAUCUCCACAUGCUGUCAUGUGAGAAAGCUGCUGGGACACCAUGAGCCUCUUGUUGACCUUUCUCUUUUGCAGGGCUUUAUGUUGAACUCUGAAUGGUGGGAUGCUGAUUGGCUGCACGUUGCUGACUUCAUUAUCCAGCAUCUCUAGUUCAUCAGCCUCAGGUUGGUCCACCCUGCACUCACCUAACUGCCCUUUGAGACCUAAUGAGCAAUGAUUGUAUAGUUGAUCAGGUCGGGGGUGUGUUGCUUUUCCUUUAGCGUUGAGAGGUGAGUGGAGGAAUAUGAUCUGAUGGGUGGACACACUUAAUGAUCAGAAACAAAUUGCUAGGGCUUUUUGCUUCUGGGAGGUCCAACACUUUUCACUGAAAACUCCUGAUCCCUCAUCAGACAUUGGCAUGUCUACAAGUAGCCUACGCAGGUUCUUGCAGAGUCUUUCCUUCUCUUGAGUGGAGUGACACAGUUGAGGUUCAACGUUGAUGACGGUGACAUAGUUCACAGGGCAGAUUACCUCAGCUGGCUGAGAGUUGGCUGGUCACACCUGAAAGCAGUAGUCAUGUUCACUCUGAAGCAAGUGUAGCUGGACCCUGACUUCCCUGUCCUUUAUCAGUCAUCCUCUUUUAGUAAGUGUUAGAGUGUGUAUUCCACAUGCACUGGGACUGCAGCAGGCACAGC
Molecule: long non-coding RNA, 878 nt
Filed under: Pan paniscus (pygmy chimpanzee)
Lineage: Eukaryota; Metazoa; Chordata; Mammalia; Primates; Hominidae
Description: lncRNA (ENSPPAG00000044550.1)
Source: RNAcentral